UUGUCAGUAUCCAUGGUGUGUAUGUAUUUAUACAGAAAACACACACACAAAAGCUCCUUGCAAUAAAAGUGUUUUAGAUACAGUGAGAUUGGCCAUUAAUGCUAAUUUUUCGCCUGUUCCCUGCUUUCAAAUGCAGUGGGAAGAUGGUUCUUUUCUUGUGUAUGUGUGAAGGGGUGAGCUUUGAGAGGUAUAAAGGUGAGGCCCAUUGACCAAGCAGCAAACAGCUCCAUCUCAGGCAGUGUGGAGGUGGGGUGAGUCAUUCUACAUCCUGUGUCCCUUGGCCCAACAUCCCAUAUCAGGAUUCCUGAAAUACCUGCAAGGUCUUGAAAAAUCACAGUCAAGGACAUGACGCAAAUUCUUCCCAUUGGUAUUUAGGAAGAGACAUCUACUACCAGGUGGUUCCUAACCACAAACAGGCUGGGAUAUAUUUAGUUUGCACAGGUUCUAACCCCUAUCUAACUUGUAGUACAGGUUCAUGCCAGGCAAUUCGUUAAUUUCACCUACCCCCCCCAUCUUAUGUGACUGAAUUUUUGAAUCCCACUUAUUCCUCCUCUUUCCCCACCCUCUCCCCCACCCUCUUUUAUGUAGUGUAUGACUAUGAUUGCUAAAUUUACUUUUUCAGUAAUAGAUACAUCAGAUAAUAAGGCAGGACUCAAACUCAAUUAGAAAAACAUGAACUUAUCAGAUAAAUAGAGUAAUAGAUGGAACUUUGUGUCUACCCUUUGAGAGAGGAUGAGACAUUUUCAUUUCUAUUCGUUGUAGUUGUGUGAUAGAUGGAGAAUGUUGUUAUUUUCCUUGUUGGUACUAAGCUUGUGUAUGAUAAGAAGUGUAUAUAUGCAUAUUAGAAGCCAAAGAAUGGACUGUGCACCUCUCCUGUCAUGUGUCCUAUAUUGAAGGGGUUAAAAAGCUAAGCUAUAUUUUCUAGGCUGCCUUUAUGGUAGGUCCUGGAUAUGACGAGGUCCUCCAAUCCAAUGCAAUGAGACAGAACCAAAGUGAGGCAGAGGCCAUGCUUCUGAAAUACUGGGGAGGCAGUUGAUCUCUCUUCUCAACAUCAGCCAUGCCCAAGUGUCUCGUUAAGUUGGUCAGUAUUGAGAGGAACCCCCUGGUUUGGGGGUCAGGCACGGCACAUCGUCCUGGAGCCAGUGGAGAUAGCAGUUUGCCUAUUCAGUCCAUUCAACAAAUGCUGACUGAGCACCUACCCCAUGCCGGACACUUCCAGCUCCACGGGAUGUCCAUGAACAGAGCACACCAUGAUCCCUGCUUUUGUAGAGCUAACCUGCCAACAGUGAGUGAUUCUCUGGUCUGGUGACAUUGUUUCCUUAAUAGGGGCAGUGAUAGGGCAUUCUUGGUUGGGGAGUUCCUGCUGGUAGGGAAAAAUAGCAGUUCCUAGCUAUAUGCAUGACUCUGGAAGUCAUUUCAGACAACUCCAUUGAAAGGCUUUCUUCAAUCCUUCCAGAGAUGUACAAGUUAAAUAACACCCUAUAUGAAAUUCCUUCUUGCUUAAGCUAUUUAGAGAGAAUUACAUUCUCAGGAAACAGACACUGUCCAAUACCAACUAUCUUGGAGUGCUUAUUCAUUCCCACUUUGGCCACCUUGAAAGCCCCACUCAUUCUUUAAUGCCAACCCACCGAAAAUGUCAGCUCUGACUCUCUGACCAUUGUCUGUCCCCCAUGCAAUUAACCCCUAUUUCCUCUGAGCUGCCACAGCACCACAGCAACUUGUAAAUGCUUCCUUUACUGGGCUUAUCAAGCUGUGUGACUUGGUUGCCUCUCGUGCUCUCCUCCUAUUGUGCAUGUGACACAUAAAGGCAGGGAUUGGGUCUUAUUUACUUUGUCCCUCUGACUCCUGACAGUGUUGGCCAAAUGAGUCACCCACAUUUCAUUUGCUCAUAUACUAAUGAGUGAACUGCACAUUUCUGUAUUACCAAAGAUGUUUUUAACUGCAUUUAUACCAUUCUUUUCCAUAUAGAUUUAUAUGUACUGUUGUAAACAUUAUGCAAAAAAACUACCCUUGGAUUUUAGGUUUAGGAAUAACAUCAGAAAUUAGGUAGUCCAAACUCCUUUUCCAGGUCAGGAAUUUUAGGCCAAAACAAUUUGGUUUCUUGUUCCAUGGUGAGUGUUCUUUCGUUUUAUUCUACAGUUACUGAUCAGCUUGACCUUGAUCUAGUUUGUAAUGUCAGUGAAAACAAGUACUAUCUUUGAGGCUCCUUAGGGUUUCGCAUGCUUCGCAGGUGAGAGGGUAAUUGGCCUUCAAAGAGUUUCUCAUAAGUUCCCUAAAAAGUGCAUUUAUGGGACUUGAAAAACAAAGGCAGGGCAUUCUUCAUUUAGAGCAAGUGUUUUUGUCAACAAAUAGUUCUUAGAUACAAGACAAACUGUCAAAUAUUUGAUUUGUUUCCAUAAAUUAUGUAUUGCUCUCUUCUGCAUUAUAGUUUUCCUCUGUGAGGUACAAAAUGAUUCUUAAACAUGAAUGCAUGUGCUAUUAUUUAUAAAAUUGGAAUGCAAACGAGUUAGGCCAUCAACAGUGUAUUAAUAGAGCACUUCGUACAGAUUUUCCCUUCAGCACAUUUAUUGUAACCAGGUCCUUCCAUCUCUCUCCGAGGAGAAUGGACUCCAUGAGAGUAAGCCUCAUGGCUUCAUGGUGGUAGAUUUAAUUCCUAACAAGGUGCUUGGCAUAGGCUAUAUGUUUUAUGUUUGCUCAUGAAAGUUUGUGGAUGGAAAUACGCAAGCUGCAAGACAACCAGACUACUAAAUUUCCCAAAUUAAAUGAACCGAAACCAAUUUCCUUUAUCCCCUUAGACUAAGAAUUUAUUUUUUGUAGAAAUUGAUAGGAGCUUCCUACUAGUUUAUGGAUCAUCCAUUUCACUUUUACAAGUUCUUAGAGGUCUUUACAAUAUUUCAAGGAAGAGGAGAAUUUUGUUUUCUCUGUUUUAGUUCUUUGCAAAGGCUGCUCAGCUCUUUCCCCAAAUUGCUCCACACAGCAUGGAGUGUCUAGAGUACAGGCCUGGUGGCACUUUGAAAUGACCCCAAUUAACAAACUUGACAACUGCUUAAACAAAUACAGUCAAAAGUGGAAAAGGUCCAUUUUUAAGUGGUACUUCUGAGAAGUGUGAACUCAUACUAGAAAAUAAACUCACAUAAUCACCUACAAAUGAAUCAUCUUGAAAAUGAGUCCUACACAAGUUAGAUAUAAAACACUGUGGUUUUUCGCAGCGCACACACAUGUGAAUUCUGAUGAGUGUAAUAUGAUUCUGUUCAUGGUGACAGUCGUCGUUGAUGAGCAGGUGCUGUGAAUGAAGGCCAAUGAAUAGGAAAUACAAUUGUUCCAGGAUAGUUUCAAGUGAAGCGCUUUGACGGUGAUUCCUGCAUGCUUUAGAACAGGAAGAGUGAGCUGUAAGGACGUAUCUUGAUCUAAAUUCAAAGACAUUGCAAACUUAAGUGACAUAAUGAAAAACAGGAAUCAGAUUUAGUACUUGAGUACUUUGCUCGCUCAAUCUUUUUGUCUUAUUUCUCAGGUGAGUUGAAGAUAGAUAGUGGGUCAUUUCGGGAUGAAUUUUAUAUAUCUCAGGGAAUAAUACAACUCUUACAUCUCAGGUUAGCAAAAGCAAAAGGACAAUGUGAAUUUUUUUCCAUAAGAAUCUCGCCUUGGUUACACAUACAUAUUGACAAUAAAUCAGAGCUUCUCUAUCCUUUCAUACUCACUUUGGAGAACUAGGUCCUAUAAGCAAUUAAUGUGUUAACUUGAUUCAUUAAUGCAGAGAAUAUCCACAAUUUCCUACCUUGGAAGAGACUGAUUCUGUCAUUGCUUUAAUAGAACUCUGCUGGAAAUCAAACACAAUUUUUAUUCUAAGGAAUGAUUACUGUGUCUUGUUUAAUUCUCCCGUAACAAAUGUCAGCACUAAUGUAUUACAGAUUAUUCAGUCAAUUUGAUGGUUCCAGGUGAAAGAAAGGAACACAAAUCUCUUCUUUUAGUGUAAAAAGGGUCAGCCGGAUGACUUCCCCUGCAGGAGCCGAGACGAGGCUUGACAUGAAUCAAUCAAGAAGGCUCAAUUUUACAGUUAUAGUGCCUAAUGCCUAAACAUGAGCGGACGGGUGGAAAUUAGCACCCGAUUAUGAGCAUACAUGAUCUUCCCCUGGAAGACAAUAAUAUUGGCAUUAAGCUUCUCAAGAGGGAAGAUGCUGCUGGUUUUUAAUAUGUCUUAAAUUAUGUCAGGAAAAACACUGGAACAUCACACAAAAGCCACAGUCAGUGUCUAUUGCUAUCUCAUAAAGCUGGAGAUCUUUACAACAAUAUUGACACAGGAGCAGGCAAGCAAAUGUCAGCCAAUAUAACAUAUGAAAUACUUAACGUAACCAAUUUUCAGCUGUCAAUCAGCAGGGAAUAAUGACUGAUGCAAGGAAUCAAUACGCCACAAUUGAAUUCCAGCUCACAAACUUGUUUCGUUCUGUGCUAUAAAAGACUGUCAAAUGUCACACCCCAAGAGAUGCAACAGGAUUCCAAAGAUUUAUUUAUUUCAAGCUCUGAAGUCUAUUAGCAAUAGUGCUCCUUUGCUAUUGGAAAUAGAGCUUCGGUGACAUUAAAUUUUCAGAAAUGACAACUCGCUUUUCUGACAAAUUAAUGAUAGGACUUUCUUAGUCCCGUAUUUAUUUAUUUUUUUGCCAACAUGAAGUACAAUUAUACUCAACCAAUUCUUGGGAUUUCAGAAAGCAAAUAUUUGACAUAAUUUGUCAAGUAAACUGCUUACAGAACCAACCAUUCUUAAACAAGUUAUCCUAUACAUUGUAAAAAAGUGGAAAGUGCAUAAGACAAAACUUAAGCUUAUAAUCCAGACCUUAAUAUUAUGCAAAUUUGAUUGCAAAUUAAAUCUAUCAAAUUUUAUCUUUCUUGAAUAACAAUAUUAAAUUUUACUCUACUGCAUGGUUAACUUUU
Molecule: long non-coding RNA, 4926 nt
Filed under: Sus scrofa (pig)
Lineage: Eukaryota; Metazoa; Chordata; Mammalia; Artiodactyla; Suidae
Description: lncRNA (ENSSSCG00000059530.1)
Source: RNAcentral